Molecule: ribosomal RNA, 303 nt
Filed under: uncultured bacterium
Lineage: Bacteria
Description: partial 16S ribosomal RNA
Rfam family: Bacterial small subunit ribosomal RNA
Source: RNAcentral
AGCAGUAGCCGCGGUAAUACGAAGGGGGCUAGCGUUGUUCGGAAUUACUGGGCGUAAAGGGCGCGUAGGCGGCCAUUCAAGUUAGAUGUGAAAGCCCUGGGCUCAACCUAGGAAUUGCAUUUGAUACUGUUUGGCUUGAGUUCGGGAGAGGUGAGUGGAAUUCCCAGUGUAGAGGUGAAAUUCGUAGAUAUUGGGAAGAGCACCAGUGGCGAAGGCGGCUCACUGGACCGACACUGACGCUGAGGCGCGAAAGCGUGGGGAGCAAACAGGAUUAGAUACCCCCGUAGUCCCUGUCUCUUAUAC